RNAcentral lists this ribosomal RNA (462 nucleotides) under uncultured bacterium. RNAcentral describes it as "partial 16S ribosomal RNA". It matches the Rfam family "Bacterial small subunit ribosomal RNA", at positions 899 to 1397 of the family's 1533-position model. The record is from RNAcentral.
ACUCAAAUGAAUUGACGGGGGCCCGCACAAGCAGCGGAGCGUGUGGUUUAAUUCGUCGCAACGCGAAGAACCUUACCAGGGCUUGACAUGCACCGGAAAACGGCGGAAACGUCGUCCUCCCGCAAGGGAUCGGUGUGCAGGUGUUGCAUGGCUGUCGUCAGCUCGUGUCGUGAGAUGUUGGGUUAAGUCCCGCAACGAGCGCAACCCCCGUGGCAUGUUGUAUCACUCAUGCCAGACUGCCGAGAGAAACUCGGAGGAAGGUGGGGAUGACGUCAAGUCAGCAUGGCCCUUACGUCCUGGGCUACACACACGCUACAAUGGCCGGUACAACGGGUUGCCAAACCGCGAGGUGGAGCUAAUCCCUUAAAGCCGGUCUCAGUUCGGAUUGCAGGCGAGUUGCUAGUAACCGCAGGUCAGCACACUGCGGUGAAUAUGUUCCCGGGCCUUGCACACACCGCCCGU